AGAGCCUGAAUCAGUGUGUGUGUUAGUGGAAGCGUCUGGAAAGGCGCGCGAUACAGGGUGACAGCCCCGUACACAAAAAUGCACAUGCUGUGAGCUCGAUGAGUAGGGCGGGACACGUGGUAUCCUGUCUGAAUAUGGGGGGACCAUCCUCCAAGGCUAAAUACUCCUGACUGACCGAUAGUGAACCAGUACCGUGAGGGAAAGGCGAAAAGAACCCCGGCGAGGGGAGUGAAAAAGAACCUGAAACCGUGUACGUACAAGCAGUGGGAGCACGCUUAGGCGUGUGACUGCGUACCUUUUGUAUAAUGGGUCAGCGACUUAUAUUCUGUAGCAAGGUUAACCGAAUAGGGGAGCCGAAGGGAAACCGAGUCUUAACUGGGCGUUAAGUUGCAGGGUAUAGACCCGAAACCCGGUGAUCUAGCCAUGGGCAGGUUGAAGGUUGGGUAACACUAACUGGAGGACCGAACCGACUAAUGUUGAAAAAUUAGCGGAUGACUUGUGGCUGGGGGUGAAAGGCCAAUCAAACCGGGAGAUAGCUGGUUCUCCCCGAAAGCUAUUUAGGUAGCGCCUCGUGAAUUCAUCUCCGGGGGUAGAGCACUGUUUCGGCAAGGGGGUCAUCCCGACUUACCAACCCGAUGCAAACUGCGAAUACCGGAGAAUGUUAUCACGGGAGACACACGGCGGGUGCUAACGUCCGUCGUGAAGAGGGAAACAACCCAGACCGCCAGCUAAGGUCCCAAAGUCAUGGUUAAGUGGGAAACGAUGUGGGAAGGCCCAGACAGCCAGGAUGUUGGCUUAGAAGCAGCCAUCAUUUAAAGAAAGCGUAAUAGCUCACUGGUCGAGUCGGCCUGCGCGGAAGAUGUAACGGGGCUAAACCAUGCACCGAAGCUGCGGCAGCGACGCUGAUGCGUUGUUGGGUAGGGGAGCGUUCUGUAAGCCUGCGAAGGUGUGCUGUGAGGCAUGCUGGAGGUAUCAGAAGUGCGAAUGCUGACAUAAGUAACGAUAAAGCGGGUGAAAAGCCCGCUCGCCGGAAGACCAAGGGUUCCUGUCCAACGUUAAUCGGGGCAGGGUGAGUCGACCCCUAAGGCGAGGCCGAAAGGCGUAGUCGAUGGGAAACAGGUUAAUAUUCCUGUACUUGGUGUUACUGCGAAGGGGGGACGGAGAAGGCUAUGUUGGCCGGGCGACGGUUGUCCCGGUUUAAGCGUGUAGGCUGGUUUUCCAGGCAAAUCCGGAAAAUCAAGGCUGAGGCGUGAUGACGAGGCACUACGGUGCUGAAGCAACAAAUGCCCUGCUUCCAGGAAAAGCCUCUAAGCAUCAGGUAACAUCAAAUCGUACCCCAAACCGACACAGGUGGUCAGGUAGAGAAUACCAAGGCGCUUGAGAGAACUCGGGUGAAGGAACUAGGCAAAAUGGUGCCGUAACUUCGGGAGAA
RNAcentral lists this ribosomal RNA (1432 nucleotides) under Escherichia coli. RNAcentral's name for it is "partial 23S ribosomal RNA". It matches the Rfam family "Bacterial large subunit ribosomal RNA", at positions 305 to 1744 of the family's 2925-position model. The record is from RNAcentral. Lineage: Bacteria; Pseudomonadati; Pseudomonadota; Gammaproteobacteria; Enterobacterales; Enterobacteriaceae.